CGUGCUUCCUUCUCUUCCUUCCCCAACCAGGGGAAUUCCUUCUAAUAAAAGUCUACACAGUAACUGGAAGGAAGGAAGGAAGGGAGGGAGGAAGGGAGGCGAGGGAGGAAGGAAGGAAGGAGGGAAGGAAAAAGUGAAAAGAAAGGGGGAGAGGGGAAGAAAAUGAUGAGAACUUUUGAAUGUUUAACAAAAGCAGUUGAAGAGCUACAAACCAGACAUUAAGGCUAAAGCCAUCUACAUAUUUGCAAGCUUUGCCUGUCUGGGAUGAAUGGUCUUGAAGAGAAAAUGAUCAUAAUUUGCAUGAAGCUGACUCACCUCUGGGUAGAGAGAGAAAAGGAAACUAAGGGUUGGAGACAUGCAGCAGCUUUCACACAGCGAGUAAAGGGUAGGGGUAGUGACAAAAUAAGAACUCAAGCCUGCCUAUCUUCAAAGUAACCACGUUAUUUUCCAGGGGCUCAACUCUUUCCAGUACAUGGGUCAUACUUAGAUAGCAUUUCAAAGUGAAGGCCAAACAGCUAUGAGAAAAUAAGAAACCAGUGGGAAUUGGAGAAAAGAAGAUCAAGAAUCCUGCCUUCAUCCUUCCCCAGCCCACUACAGUGGCUCUCCUAAGGCCUCAAUUAUCCAAAUAUCUACUCUGUUAAAGAAACUCAGAAUAUGCCUCUCUAAACAGGGGAGAAUGUAAUAUACUUGACUCCUCACAGAUUUGAUGAUCAUUUUGG
This 719-nucleotide long non-coding RNA is filed under the name Heterocephalus glaber (naked mole-rat). RNAcentral describes it as "lncRNA (ENSHGLG00000038408.1)". Lineage: Eukaryota; Metazoa; Chordata; Mammalia; Rodentia; Bathyergidae. The record is from RNAcentral.